Molecule: ribosomal RNA, 771 nt
Filed under: Triticum aestivum (bread wheat)
Lineage: Eukaryota; Viridiplantae; Streptophyta; Magnoliopsida; Poales; Poaceae
Description: partial small subunit ribosomal RNA
Source: RNAcentral
AUGGGCAUGGCGAGCCACAGCCGCUGCCACGCGGGGGAGCCACCAACGCAGGAGCUCCACGCGGACGAGUCGCCCAGUGCCAUGCCCGCCGCCACUACUAGGGAGGAGCGACGGCCCAGAACUCCGCACAAUCUCCUCGGUCCACCCCACCCCGGCUCCUCUCCCCACGAUCUCCUGGCCGCCGCCCCCACCCUCGCCGGCCGGUUCCGGCGAGCACCGGCCGCGCGCAACACCCCACCUCCUCCUCCUCCUCCCCCUCCCUUCCCCUUCCUCCUCUGCCCGCCCCUUCUCUCUCCUUCCUCCCGGCGGCCGGCGAUGGGCGCGGACAAGGAGGAGCACCAGUCCCCUGCGCGGAAGCGUGAGCGCGAGGAGGGGGAGGAGCCCGUGGCCGCCGAUGAGAAGCGCCCGCGCACGGCGGACAAGUCGGGGGGCGUUUACCAGGAGAGGCCGCCCCGAAGCCUCUCGCCGCCGGAAACCCUCGCCGCCCAUCUACACCGGAGCACCGGCGAGAAACCGUCCUCCUCCCAAACCGAGCCGGAUCGAGUCCGGUCCGGCCGGCCAGCCCGGAUCUCCCCCGUCCGAGGCCGGUCUCGCCCCCCGCCGGUAGCGCGCGGAAAAGAAACAUGUGCAAAUGUUGAGGUAGUCAUAUCCAGUGAACCCCGGGUGACCGACGAGGACUACUGCGGCCCGAUGGGAGUCGUGCUCUUCAACUACUCGGAGGCGGACUUCACCGUGAAGCCUCGCGACCGCGUCAUACAGAUUGUCGUCUAG